UGUGUGUGUGUGUGUGUGUGUGUGUGUGUGUGUGUGUGUGUGUGUGUGUAUGUGUCCUGGGGCUUGGACUCAGGGCCUGAGCACUGUCCCUGGCUUCUUUUUGCUCAAGGCUAGCACUCUGCCACUUGAGCCACAG
Long non-coding RNA from Perognathus longimembris pacificus (Pacific pocket mouse), 136 nucleotides. RefSeq lists it as uncharacterized. NCBI's taxonomy places the organism in Eukaryota, Metazoa, Chordata, Mammalia, Rodentia, Heteromyidae. The record is from RefSeq and is a predicted model, not a curated record. The transcript is spliced from 3 exons.